Molecule: non-coding RNA, 1578 nt
Organism: Camelina sativa (false flax)
Lineage: Eukaryota; Viridiplantae; Streptophyta; Magnoliopsida; Brassicales; Brassicaceae
Source: RefSeq, a predicted model, not a curated record
UGUUUGCUAAGAACCACCGUCUUCGUCUUCGUCUACGUUUUCGCUUUGUCUUCGUCUUCGUUUUCGUCUUAGUCUUCGUUUUCUUCUUCACUAUGGCCGUUACUUCGCUUCUCCAUACCGUUUUCAGACGAAGAAAGAAGAAGUCUACUGAGUUAAUAAACGAUUAUGCAGUUUUGCAAUUUGACUUCGACACCAUUAGAGCUGCAACAAAUGAGUUCUCAGAUGUGAUUGGUCGUGGAGGAUUUGGUUCUGUUUACAAGGGUAGGCUUCAAAGUGGACAAGAAAUAGCAGUGAAGAUAUUGCUUAAAAGUUCAAUUAGAACUCAUAGACAGUUUCAUAAUGAACUUAAUCUUUUGUCAAAGCUUAGGCACAAGAAUCUUAUCAAUCUUCUUGGUUUCUCCACUAAACGAGACCACUAUUGUCUUGUUUAUGAGUUCAUGCCUAACUCGAGCCUUGAUUGUUUUAUACUAGAUCCACACAGAGCUUCUCGGCUAAGUUGGGAGAUGUGUCGAAACAUUGUCCAAGGCAUAGCUUGUGGUUUACGUUACCUUCAUGAAGAAUCAGGGCUGUGGGUCGUUCACCGUGACAUUAAACCUGCAAACGUUCUAUUGGAUUCAGAUCUAAAACCGAAAAUCAUGGGAUUUGAAUUGGCAAGGAUGAUGCAACAAGGUGGAAACGAAGCUGAAUCAACUGAUAUUGUUGGUACCGUAGGGUAUUUAGAUCCAGAGUAUAUGCGAAGCGGACGUGUUUCUGUCAAAUCUGAUGUUUAUGCCUUUGGAGUUACAAUCUUGAAGAUCAUUAGCAGAAGAAAGGUUUGGAUUGUGGACGGAGACUCUUUAAUCGAAUAUGUUAUGAGAUGCUGGAACAGAGGAGAAGCUACCGAUGUGAUCCAUGAAAUGAUGAGAGAAGAAGAGAGAGAAGAUUCGAUAAGCGAAAUCUUGAGAUACAUUCACAUUGCUUUGUUAUGUAUCGAUGAGGAUGCAGAGACAAGGCCGAGUAUUGAUAAUGUUCUUCAUUGGUUUAGUUGUUUCUCUUCUCCUUUGCCUGAACCAUUCAUUGGUAAUCGAUUUCUUGCAGAGGAAGAAACAAAUCUGUCUUGGUCACCGUAUCUAUCUCCCGGUCAUAGCUCUGUCAUGUCACCUAUAUCUUCGCGUUAAGAGAUUGAGCAUGAUCGUAUAAGAUUAGCUCUGCUUGAAUACUCGAUUAAUGAGAGUUUAGGAUGAGAAUGAUUAAUUAAUGACAGAUCUCGUAUCAUCUGAUAAAGACCACUGUGAGCAACAUAAGCAGUUUCACUAAAUCUACUGACCAUACACGAGGAUCUGAUGAGCCCCAUCAGGUCUACAUAAGGAGGAAAUACAAAGAAGGAGCAGCACGUGUGGAGAAAUAGAGGAGCACGUGCGAAUGGAAAUGUGAUCUUUAGUAUAUAAACAUUGUAAAAAGAGUUUGUAGAGCAUGUUGUUUGUGUCAUUGUGUGGGAACAGAGUCGCAUGUGACUUUGAGGGAGACGGUUAUGAUCUGACUGCGUCUAGAGGCCUCUCUUGUUACCUCAUUAGAUUGUAUCUCAUAUUUGUUCAGAUA